UUCUAACAGCUCCCAAGGUUUGCAGCUACUAGGUUUUCUGUAACGGCUUGUACUUGGAGAAUCUCUUUCAAAAUCGGUGAGCAGGGUGCUCUUGUGCUGGACUAUGAGGAGUAACUUUCUACGAGUUUUGGAACUGUGCUGAUAUGGCACUUGGCAAGCUUUACCUGGGAGCAUCUCGUGCAGAGAACAUGAAGAGCAUAUCAGAGGUUAGAGGAUAAAGAAAAGCAGAAAUAUUUGCUCUUCUCCAGAUGCCUGUGACUCACAUGCUGAUGAGUGCCUGUUCUGCUUUAGCCUCCAAUGCAUCUUUUGAGGCCUGAUGUUCCAGGGAGGUCCUUGUGCUGCA
Molecule: long non-coding RNA, 343 nt
Filed under: Gallus gallus (chicken)
Lineage: Eukaryota; Metazoa; Chordata; Aves; Galliformes; Phasianidae
Description: long non-coding RNA NONGGAT008355
Source: RNAcentral